ACUUGGUUUCUAAAAGGAAAAGGAAGUUUGGGGGAGAGUUUGGCAGCGUUUAUGGUUGCAGCAAAUGAAGAAUCAACCCCGUUUGCAGCUGGGUUUGGAGAUAUUGGAGACUGUCCACUUUGUUCCCGUCAACCUCACCCAAUGCCACAGCCCACCGCCAUUGCUGGGAGGCUUCAGGAAAAUGGGUGGAGCUGAGGAAUAGAUGCCAGGAAAAUGUAAAAAGUCUUAUCUCCAGACAAACCUUGAAGAUUCUUUUUGAAAGUGAAACAUUUCAUCUUUAGAAUUGAACACCUCAACUGAACUUAAAGGAGAAAUUAAGUGCAAUAUUUUGAACAGCAUUUAAACGAAGAUGAGAUAGAAGACAGAACUGUUAUAAAUAUGUAAGUUUUAUUAUACAGACAAACGAAGGAUUCAGCUCUGUUGUACUGUAU
Non-coding RNA from Delphinapterus leucas (beluga whale), 431 nucleotides. The record is from RefSeq and is a predicted model, not a curated record. NCBI's taxonomy places the organism in Eukaryota, Metazoa, Chordata, Mammalia, Artiodactyla, Monodontidae.